GACAGAGGUGCCAAGCGUUAGGCGGAAUCACUGGGCUUAAAGCGUGUGUAGGCGGAUCGUUAAGUACCUUGUGAAAUCCCACGGCUCAACCGUGGAACUGCUCGGUAUACUGGCGGUCUUGAGCCACCUAGGGGCAACUGGAACAAGCGAUGGAGCGGUGAAAUGCGUAGAUAUCGCUUGGAACGCCAACGGUGAAAACAGGUUGCUGGGGGUGUGCUGACGCUGAGACACGAAAGCCAGGGGAGCGAACGGG
RNAcentral lists this ribosomal RNA (253 nucleotides) under uncultured bacterium. Its description in RNAcentral is "partial 16S ribosomal RNA". It matches the Rfam family "Bacterial small subunit ribosomal RNA", at positions 524 to 776 of the family's 1533-position model. The record is from RNAcentral.